GGAUGCGAUCAUACCAGCACUAAAGCACCGGAUCCGAUCAGAACUCCGAAGUUAAGCGUUCUUGGGCGAGAGUAGUACUAGGACACGCGAGAGUAGUACUAGGAUGGGUGACCUCCUAGAAAGUCCUCGUGUUGCAUUCC
Molecule: ribosomal RNA, 140 nt
Filed under: Setaria italica (foxtail millet)
Lineage: Eukaryota; Viridiplantae; Streptophyta; Magnoliopsida; Poales; Poaceae
Also listed under: 1 other name
Source: RNAcentral